Molecule: non-coding RNA, 73 nt
Organism: Electrophorus electricus (electric eel)
Lineage: Eukaryota; Metazoa; Chordata; Actinopteri; Gymnotiformes; Gymnotidae
Source: the annotation of a RefSeq genome assembly
CCUUCGAUAGCUCAGUUGGUAGAGUGGAGGACUGUAGAUCCUUAGGCAGUCGGUUCAAAUCCGAUUCGAAGGA